UUUAACCUCUGAAGUUCUUAAAAACUCUCCUGGCUGAUACUCCUACGUAUCGGAGUGAAUGGCUAUGCGGUUCCCGUGGAUUCUACCAACGGUCACCUCGAGGUUAUUUGGAAUACUUUCAGAUUCCAGUUUUGUUUUCUCCGAAUUAUGCAGAGACUGUCAGAACAGGACUGAUGCCAGUUAUGUAUUAUGAGAGGUCAACAGCACUUUGAUACAGGAGUCAGCACUAUCACAUGUUGCCAACAGAACUGAGAAGUUGGAAGCCACUAAAGCUAAGAGCUCAUUAGUGGUCAUUUGAAUCCUUAUAUCUGAAGAGUCACUACAAUAAAAACCACUCUCUGCACACAACAGGCUUGAGGCAGAAUUCAUAUGUUACAGCAUUCCUUCAAGUACAUCCCAGUUAUCCCAGUAUCCCAAUAUUGUGUGCCGUACUGACCAGGCUUCUCCUGCGUUAGAGGAAGAACUCUCACUGCCAGGCUGAUAGCUACACAAAAACCCCAGUACAGGACAAUGACGCUUCAAGAUAAUAUUAUGCAGCUGAUUAAAAUAGUGGCAGCAGAAGAGGAAUUACAGGUAGUGGUGAAGAAAACAACCACAGGGGCCAUCAUAGGGGUCGUCUCCAUCGCUGCUGGAAGCCUACUUGGCGGUAUUCCUGGACUCAUUAUAGGUGCUGCUGUGGGAGGUGUGCUGGGGUAUAACAUGUCUGAAGGUUAUAAAUCUCUGACUGACACCCUCAAUAAUCUUCACCCUGAAAUGAAAGUGAAACUUUGUAAUGCAGUCAUACAGCUGCUGAAAGAUCUGGUCUGUUUGGCACUGGAUAUCCUGGUUGAGAGGGUUUUAGGAGAUACAAUUCUGAAGAACACAAUUAUUAACUUAAUUAAAUCAUUUUUCAAUAACAAACUAAAUAUGAAAAUCAAGCAAAGGUUCUAAGCAGGAAGCCCUCCGGCCAAUGCAGGCAAUCAGGUUUCUGUUUCUGUUUCUUUUGGGUUCACAUAUAAGAUGUACAAGAACUACAAUCAGUUAUUUUAAGGGUAGAAAGUAGCAUAGUUCAAAUAAUCACCAUUACACUGUUUACUCUAUUUUUGAAUGUCUGCACUUGGGCUUUGGGGCUUUGGGCUAUGUUAGUCUAGGGUGAAAAAAAUCAUAUUUGUCUCAGUCAGCACUCUGUUUGGUGGUUCAGCACUCUGUUUGAUGAAUCAGCAUUCUAUGUACGAUGAUUCAGCACUCUAUGUUUGAUGACUAAGCAUUCUGUGUGAAGUGAAUGCACAUUUUAAUACUCUAGACCACCAAACUGUCAAAACAUUUAAAAUCAUAAAUCUAUGUCACACUAAUUAGGAAAAAAAAGGUGUUAACAGAAAAGAAUGUUGUUCUCUCCUUCAUAUUUCUCUAAGUUCUUUUUAAUCUCUACUUUCUUGUUUUCUCUUUCUCAGCACUUUCUCUCUGCCUGUUUUCUGUCUCCCUGUCAAAUACCUUCUAACCUAGACAAAUGCGAAACGUAGGUGGGUUUGGAUGUUGUCUAAAUGUCUCCAUUUAAUGGUUAAUAUAACAGCGCUCAGAGCCCUGGGUCAAGAGCGAUGUCUCCAGAAGCACCCUUGGCAUGAUAAUAAUGUGAUCUCUAACCGCAUUCUGUAAUCAGGAUACAAAGAAAUGUCUGUAUUCCGUUGUAGUUGCAGAAAAAAAUGUUUUUAAAAAAAACCGACGCACGUUUAACUUCAUUCCCGAGCAGCUUGUGACUGGAAGCAGCCGUGGAUUUGUGAGAUCUGUCUCUACUUUUCAUUAAUGCACGUUAUGCCAUUUGAUUGCUAAUAGCUUUGUUUAUUGUGAACACGAGACUUGUUUCCCGUGGAUGCGUUAUUGUGUCAUUUGUCUUUAUUUGAGUUAAAUAAAGGUUACCCUGAUGA
Molecule: long non-coding RNA, 1901 nt
Organism: Electrophorus electricus (electric eel)
Lineage: Eukaryota; Metazoa; Chordata; Actinopteri; Gymnotiformes; Gymnotidae
Source: RefSeq, a predicted model, not a curated record